RNAcentral lists this ribosomal RNA (312 nucleotides) under uncultured Actinomycetes bacterium. RNAcentral describes it as "bacterial SSU rRNA". It matches the Rfam family "Bacterial small subunit ribosomal RNA", at positions 505 to 818 of the family's 1533-position model. The record is from RNAcentral. Lineage: Bacteria; Bacillati; Actinomycetota; Actinomycetes.
GUGCCAGCAGCCGCGGUAAUCGUAGGCGCAAGCGUUGUCCGGAAUUAUUGGGCGUAAAGAGCUCGUAGGCGGUUUGUCGCGUCUGCUGUGAAAGCCCGGGGCUCAACCCCGGGUCUGCAGUGGGUACGGGCAGACUAGAGUGCAGUAGGGGAGACUGGAAUUCCUGGUGUAGCGGUGAAAUGCGCAGAUAUCAGGAGGAACACCGAUGGCGAAAGGCAGGUCUCUGGGCUGUUACUGACGCUGAGGAGCGAAAGCAGUGGGGAGCGAACAGGAUUAGAUACCUGGUAGUCCAUGCCGUAAACGUUGGCACUA